Molecule: long non-coding RNA, 1976 nt
Organism: Cyprinus carpio carpio
Lineage: Eukaryota; Metazoa; Chordata; Actinopteri; Cypriniformes; Cyprinidae
Source: Ensembl
UGUCACACUUGUACAUUUUUAUACAGUCUAUGGUGUAGACGUUGCAAAUCCGUGAAUGAAUGUUCCGAAGUGAGAUAAACUUCAACAAAUUUCCCCUGCUCAGGGAGUAGGGAGCAAUGAACACUGUGUAGAGACCAUGUCAAUCGGAACACAGUUCAUGCUCGGAGCUCACUUCUAAUGAGCUAAUUAUCUGAAUCAGGUGUGUUAACAAAGAGAGACCUACAAAAUGUGCAGAGCAGGGAGUCAUGAGGACUGGAAUUGAGAACUGCUGUCCCAAUUCUACUUCAUCAGAGGAGACCUGAUUCAAACCUGAAAGAAACAGUGUCUCUACUCAAUAAUAAACAAGAGGUCAUGGUGAUGGGAAACCACAGCAAUUCAGUUCAUGCCCCUUUUCCAGGAUUUGUACGUAGGACCUCAGGUUACCAUCCCUGGGGCCUGAAGAAGUGUUCACAUUGACAUCAAUCUGCAGUGACAAAGCGACCAGAACUCAUUCAUUUUCAAUGAGACCAGAUGAUUUCCAGCAGUGCAGGCGUCAGUGACAGGACUUGACUGUGUCCAACAACACAACAAAGUAGAUAGAAGAUUAACUUUAUGUGCAGUUACUCAAUGCAAUGAAUACUAACAGGAAUGUAGACAGUGGCGUUCCAGUGAUCCAUCUCUUGUGAGACACCAGUCAAGUGUCAGCAAGAUGGAGAAGAUAAUGUUGCUGUGAGUGAUUUUACCGUCCAUGAUUUAUUUCUUACCACAUCAACAAUAUAAUAACACCAUGGAAAACCGAGUCUGAGAUUGUUGGCAUUCUAAAAAAAGUUUGAUUCAUGCAAUCUUGUUCAUGAUAUGAUGUACUAUGCAGCACUGCAAUUUUUGUGGAGCUUUUCUACAAAUGCUUUCUUCUGCAAAAUGUAAAUUUUUUUUUUUUGAGGCAACAAAACUGAUUCACUGUCAAAAUGGAAUGAAAUGUUCUUUUUUUUCUUCUGUUAAUACAAUUCAUUUGAAAUCAGAUUUGGGUGGUUAUGCAACCUACCAAUAAUGUCAGAGCAUCCAGCACAGUAACCUUGUGAAAUUGCUGUCAGUGUGAACGAGACAUCAUGUAUAAAUGAUAUAGAAGAUGUGACUGAUUCACUGAAUUGGACUCACAACCAAUAAUGUCCUUGUUUUUCAUGGUCUGAGCAGCACAGAAGGUGGAUCAGCCUACAAAACUGGGCAGCUAAAUCGAUCAACAGGCCCACACAGAAUCUGUGCCGACUGCACUCAGCGGAGAGCUCAGCAGAUUUAUGAAAAACAACCGACACUAAGUUCUACAUAUUAUCCACCAUUGCAUGUUCACCCCACAGAUUUUGCACAAAAAUAUCACUUCUGUGAAAUGUGGAGAUGAAGUCCAUAGAUUCAGUCUGGGCCUGCUGAUCAUUCUUUUAUGUGCAACAGCAUCAUGACCUCAGCACAGGAGAUAAUGUCCCUCUCCAACUUCACUCCAUCUUAGUGAGCAAUUACUGUUAACUUGUUAGCAAAAUCACUUUUAGAAAUAGAAGUUAGCUACAGUUUACCCUAUGGGCAUAUAGAUAAUGUGGCAAUUUUCAUAAUGUAUUAUGUAAGUCUAACAAUUUUGCAGAGGAUUGUUACUGUAGAUUUGGGUUCUAUUCUGUGUGGUAGAAGAUUUUUACUACAAUAUGUCUCACUUUAAAAUUUACAGAGAAAUCAUGUUUUAAUGGAAACAUAUCCAAAUGAUAAAUUCUAAAGUCAUGAUGUGUGAUAUGUCAUUACAUGGUUUGCAGAUCUUGUCCAAAUGUGUAGAUGUAGAAAGAAAGAAAGAAAGAACUAUAAAACUGUUUCCGUCAUGGAAGAAAAAAACUGUCUCACAAUUCAAACUUUUUUUCUUGCAAUUCUAAAAAAAAGUCAGAUUUGUGAGUUAUAAAUUCAGAACUAUAAUUAAAAUAGGUAUACAUUCGAGAUUGCAAGAUAUAAAACUAGAAAUUCUGAGA